This 509-nucleotide ribosomal RNA is filed under the name Bacillaceae bacterium SL3R8. RNAcentral's name for it is "bacterial SSU rRNA". It matches the Rfam family "Bacterial small subunit ribosomal RNA", at positions 200 to 695 of the family's 1533-position model. Lineage: Bacteria; Bacillati; Bacillota; Bacilli; Caryophanales; Bacillaceae. The record is from RNAcentral.
UUGAAAGGCGGCUUCGGCUGUCACUUAUGGAUGGACCCGCGUCGCAUUAGCUAGUUGGUGAGGUAACGGCUCACCAAGGCAACGAUGCGUAGCCGACCUGAGAGGGUGAUCGGCCACACUGGGACUGAGACACGGCCCAGACUCCUACGGGAGGCAGCAGUAGGGAAUCUUCCGCAAUGGACGAAAGUCUGACGGAGCAACGCCGCGUGAGUGAUGAAGGCUUUCGGGUCGUAAAACUCUGUUGUUAGGGAAGAACAAGUGCUAGUUGAAUAAGCUGGCACCUUGACGGUACCUAACCAGAAAGCCACGGCUAACUACGUGCCAGCAGCCGCGGUAAUACGUAGGUGGCAAGCGUUAUCCGGAAUUAUUGGGCGUAAAGCGCGCGCAGGUGGUUUCUUAAGUCUGAUGUGAAAGCCCACGGCUCAACCGUGGAGGGUCAUUGGAAACUGGGAGACUUGAGUGCAGAAGAGGAAAGUGGAAUUCCAUGUGUAGCGGUGAAAUGCGUAGAG